UAAGGUAAUUCCGCCCAGGGUAAGUCGGAGCCUAAGACGAGGCCGAAAGGCGUAGUCGAUGGUAAACAGGUUAAUAUUCCUGUACCAGUUGCAGCGAGUCAAUGAUGGCGUGACGUGGUUCUGAAGGUGUACCGGCGAUUGGAAAUGCCGGGCCAAGCCGGAGAGGGGUCCGUUGGAAAAUCCGCGGACAUAAACUCGAAGGUGAGUGCGAGCUCCGCAAGGAGCGAAGUCAUCGGAGGCACCGCCAAGAAAAGCGUCGGUUCGUAUUGCUGCAGCUGUCCGUACUAAAACUGACACAGGUAGGCGAGGCGAGUAGCCUCAGGCGCUCGAGAGAACCCAGGAGAAGGAACUCGGCAAAAUGGUUCCGUAACUUCGGAAGAAGGAUCGCCCAUGGCCUUGUUAAAGGGGCUGUGGGCCGCAGUGAAUCGGCUCUCGCGACUGUUUAUCAAAAACACAGGUCUGUGCAAAGUCCUAAAGACGACGUAUACAGACUGACGCCUGCCCGAUGCCGGAAGGUUAAGGGGAAGGGUUAACCGCAAGGUGAAGCUCAUAACCGAAGCCCCGGUGAAUGGCGGCCGUAACUAUGACGGUCCUAAGGUAGCGAAGUUCCUUGUCGGGUAAGUUCCGACCCGCAUGAAUGGCGUAACGACGGGAGCGCUGUCUCCUCCUGGGACUCGGCGAAAUUGGCGUGGCAGUGAAGAGACUGCCUACCCGCAGCAGGACGGAAAGGCCCCGUGAACCUUUACUGUAGUCUAUUAUUGGGUCUUGGGUUAACAUGUGUAGGAUAGGUGGGAGACGUAGAAGCGGUGGCGCAAGCCAUCGUGGAGUCGCCGUUGAAAUACCACUCUUGUUAAUCUAGGAUUCUAACCGCGCGCCGUGAAUCCGGGCGCGGGACAGUGAUAGAUGGGCAGUUUGGCUGGGGCGGUCUCCUCCCAAAGUGUAACGGAGGAGUGCAAAGGCACCCUCAGCACGGUUGGCAAUCGUGCGUAGAGCGCAAAGGUAUAAGGGUGCUUGACUGCGAGUCCAACGAGACGAGCAGACGUGAAAGCGGGCCUUAGUGAUCCGGUGGUCGCGUGUGGAAGCGCCAUCGCUCAACGGAUAAAAGGUACUCCGGGGAUAACAGGCUUAUCACGCCCAAGAGUUCAUAUCGACGGCGUGGUUUGGCACCUCGAUGUCGGCUCAUCGCAUCCUGGGGCUGAAGGAGGUCCCAAGGGUUUGGCUGUUCGCCAAUUAAAGCGGUACGUGAGCUGGGUUCAGACCGGCGUGAGCCAGGUCGGUCCCUAUCCGCUGUGGGCGCAGGACCAUUGAGGGAUUUUGACCUUAGUACGAGAGGAUUGGGUCGGACGGACCUCUGGUGUACCAGUUGUCCCGCCAGGGGCAGUGCUGGGUAGCUAUGUCCGGAACGGAUAAACGCUGAAGGCAUCUAAGCGUGAAACCUGUCCCAAGAUGAGUGGUCCCUAUAGGCUCCUCGAAGACUACGAGGUAGAUAGGCGGGAUGUGUAAGCACAGCAAUGUGUUGAGCUAACCCGUACUAAUGAGCCGAUCGGCUUGACCUU
Molecule: ribosomal RNA, 1556 nt
Filed under: metagenome
Description: bacterial LSU rRNA
Rfam family: Bacterial large subunit ribosomal RNA
Source: RNAcentral